Molecule: long non-coding RNA, 244 nt
Organism: Cyprinus carpio carpio
Lineage: Eukaryota; Metazoa; Chordata; Actinopteri; Cypriniformes; Cyprinidae
Source: Ensembl
AUUUUCGUGCAUGUACGUGAAACACAGCUCGAGGGCUGUUGAUUUUUUUACGAUAGGUGGCGCUGUCGAGCCAUUUUGCCACACCCUCUUCUGAAACCUAUAUCAGACGUAAAUUUUCACCAGGUCUGACGUGUGUGCAAAGUUUCAUGACUUUUCGAGCAUGUUUAGGCCCUCAAAAAUGCGAUUCAUUUUGGAGAAGAAGAAGAAGAAGAAGAAGAAGAAGAAGAAGAAGAAGAAUAAUAAU